CCCAGCCCCUGGUUUCUUGGUCUUGUCCCCAGACUGGACAGCCAGGCCAGGCCCCUUCUUCUGACCCUUGGUGGAGAGUUCCACGUUGAUGCGCUUGCCCUUCACUUCUUUGCCGUUGAGCUGCGCGAUUGCGGCUUUGGCAUCUGCUUCCUUCUCCAUGUGAACAAACGCGUAGUCUUUCACCACGUCACACUCGAUGACGCGUCCGCGGCGCUCGAAGAGGCUGCGCAGUUCC
RNAcentral lists this long non-coding RNA (235 nucleotides) under Homo sapiens (human). RNAcentral's name for it is "LNC_000744". The record is from RNAcentral. Lineage: Eukaryota; Metazoa; Chordata; Mammalia; Primates; Hominidae.